CACUGAGAAGAGGGGUAUAAAAGGCUGCGAGCAUAAGAAAAGCCAAAGUUAAGAAUAAGACGUUACCGGUGAAACUUAGCUAGAGAGCAGUGCAGAAGUGGAAAAAUUUAAUUUGUGUGUUGCGAUUUUUUUUUAUUGUGAAUAUUCCGGUGGUGUAUCAAGCUUUUUUGGAAGCACCGAAAAUUGUCCGGUUUUGGUCAGCACAACGGCGGGAAAUUGCCUUUUCUUUUUGGUAACGCAAGGUAGUGGCAAGUUGUCCACAGGAGAAAAAAGCCAAAAAAAGUUACAUUGAGGGUGUGGAGAUUUGAAUUGUAAACUGGCCAGCUGCAACUUUGAGCUUUUUGCUGUGCCUGUUAUUGAUCCCGCCCAGAACGCCGGCAGUGUAAAAGGACCAGUCAACAAGUCCAGCUUCAUUUGAGGGUUUGCCUGGCGUUCAAAAUCUGUUUCCUCCGGAAAGAAGCGUAAACUGGAAGGGGAGAUAAGAAGAAUUAAUCAAUAACGUUAUAAAUCACUGCUCAGGUAAAAGGUGUCUUACCGUUGUGUUGUCCUUGAUAUAUUUAUAUAUAUGUGACGUCCAUAAAGUUUGCUGUCUCCUUUUUUGGAACUAAAAGAAAAGAAAAAAAGAGUUAAUAAUCAUAAAUUUCGAGAAAAAAAAAUUAUAAUAUUCAGUAUAAAAAUUUGGUAAUAAGAUAGGUUAUAGUUCUUAGGAUUUAAGUAAUAAUCAAUCUGUAAGGGAAAAAUACCGCGUUUAUUUUCAAAGGCUAGGAGGUGUUACAGUAAAAUUAUCUUGAGUCCUUGUGAUUCGAUCUGAUAGUUUAGGCCGUGGAAUUUUAGCGGCAAUUAGGCCAGUUAAGAGAGCUCUUUUAGGUGGCUAGUAAUUUCGUAUAGACGCGUGAAUAUUGCGCGGGAAAAGCAAGGCAAAGGAUAAUAUAUUGGUUUCUACCGAGUAAUUAAAGCCAUAGAUUUAAGAAAGCCCGGUAUUAUUCUUAAUUUGUUUUUUUUUAUACCAUACAGUUUGUCAAUUUUAGUGUAAGAAAAAAAAAUAGUAGAGAAAAAAAUUAAGAAAAUAUUUAAAGCUAACUUAUUUUUUUUAAUAAAAUUAAAAAUGAUUCUUUUGUAAACAGUAGAUACUAAUAUGUGUUGCUAAAUUUGUAUAACUUGGGGGGAAGGUGGUAUGAAGUAAGUGUGUGAUUCGAAGCGUGUGGUUUAAGGGGAUUCAGAGAAACGCAAGAAAUGGAAAUACUGGAUCCAGGUAGGGUGGGCGAGUGUGGGAUCGAUCCACCGAGAUCCCUGUAUGAUGACUCCUAUUUUGUAUAUCGUAGAGUAGAGCAAUUGUAGUAAAGUCCCCUUUCAAUGUUAGUGUGUUGGAUUCGAUUGGCGGGUUGAGAUCCCUAGCCCUGGAAGUCUCUGUGACAGUCGGAUGGCCUAAUCGUAUGCCGAGCAUAUGCACACAUAACAGAGAUGGCGCCCAAUAUUCUAAAAUAAAGCUUUAUUGUACCUAAUACCACUGUAAAAAAUGGCGACUCAAACAUGGCCGUUGUAAACUGUGAUAUUAGGUUAGUAACUCUGUGCAAUAAUAUCGACGCACACAGCCAUAGAAUGCUAGUAGAUUUUAAAUAGACAAAAGAAAAUGUUUUUGACAAAUAAUAUUCUGUGAUAUUAGUAUGCAUCCGAACUUUAGAGAGAUGGGUUACGAAGUGCGAUAUUACUAUAUCAAAUAUAUUAUGGGAACGUUUUCUCCACUGUUCUAAGUAGGGUGUAAUCAAUAGCUUGUAAUUCCGAGCUGGAAUAAAACAAUUUGUAUUGAGAAUCCUACUGUUAAAAUUUGUUUUUGUGAAAUAACCCAAAUAAAUUAUAGACGGGAAUAAGUACUUCGAGUAGCAGCAAUAGCGAUUUUGAUCUGAGAGAUGCAAAAAUCCAAGUAUUGCAUAUAAAAACCCUGAGCUUUCAUUUAUAAAAUGUAAUAGAUAUGUCAUGGGUCCGAAGUUAACGAAGCACUAUAAUUUAUGAGAAGAAUAAGAAUGUCUAAAGGAAAAGUCAUACACCUCAUAAAGGGCACUAAAAUUAUUAUUAAAAACAGUAAAAAAAAAAAAAAAAAAAAAAAAAAAAAAAAAAAAAAAAAAAAAAAAAAAAUAAAAUAAAUAAAAAAAAAAAAAAAAAAACCACACACACACUGCUUCUGAAAAUUACACUUCCCCCGUAGAUCUAUGUUGUAAUUGUCAAAUUUGAAAAUUUGUAUGUGUAAUUGUAAUCGAAUGUAUUUAUAAAAAGUAUUUGUUUUGCCGAUGUUUCAUAUUUGAAAAAAAGGUUAACUGAAUUUAAAACUUACUUACAAGAAAAGGUUUCGUCCGAGAUUCAAUUGAUAGCAAAUGAGAAGAUAAAUUUUGGGUAUAGGUCAUGAUCUACAAUACCCGCAAUAGUAAAAGAAAUAA
This is a long non-coding RNA of Musca domestica (house fly), 2432 nucleotides long. RefSeq lists it as uncharacterized. The record is from RefSeq and is a predicted model, not a curated record. Lineage: Eukaryota; Metazoa; Arthropoda; Insecta; Diptera; Muscidae. The transcript is spliced from 2 exons.